AUUUUCACUUUUGUGUUCUCUGUAUGGAGUCUGUUCUUUCUAUAAAGACAUCACUUACUCCCUGAAAUUGGCUCAGGUCUUAAUAAUUUAAAACCCUCUUUCUUUUCUUCUAAAAUUGAAACUUUGAAACUAACAGAAAGAAAUAAGAUUCUCUUGAAAAACAAUACUCUAUCUCUAAUUCCCAUGAGAAAAGGAGAGAAAGUAAAAUUCAGAGUAGAGAAAUUUCUUCUAUGAUUUAAGAACAAAAGAACAAGAGUCUCAACUUUGUACAUAUGAAUAUAAUAUAUUCGUUCAUUAUGGUUGAUACUUCCUUAAAAAGUAUAAAAGUUAAAAAAUCAAAAUAUAAGCAAUACAUUAUCUGCUAUAAUUAGAAGCAAAAUUAUAUAUACUAAUGCAGUUUUCUUCCUCAAAUAUAUUUUUACCACUCAUCUCUUCUAAUGAUUGAUUUUUGGUUUAUGAUAUAACAACCUCUGUCUUUCUUGAUUUUUUAAAACUUUUAUCAUCAACUAUGCUUAAUUAAACUACUUUUUCCAAGUGCCUGACAGGGUAGCUAAGUAAAAUACGUCAAUCAAAAUCAGAAUGUAGAGUUUGUCACUUUCCUCUGUCACAAUUGCACAUUUAAUUUUGCUACCAUCAUCACAGUAAUAACCGUUUUACAAAUAAUAUUAUUAAAAUAGCUGUCAUGAUCAAAAUACAAAUAUAUAUAUGUGUGUCUUUAUCUGUACACAUAUAUAUUAGUAUACAAAAAUCGUUUCAAAACUAAGACCUUAUCUUCUCAUAAUUUUAUCAUUUAUUGGAUAAAUUAUCAAAACAAUAUAAAUCUACAUUUAAAUAUUUUAUUAAUUUUAUAUGUAGUAUGCUACCAUGAAAAUUAUUUUCAUGUAAUUAAAAUUUAUAAUCUUGUGAAUGUUUUCCAUAGACACAGAUAUUAUACCACAAUUGUAAUUUUGUAAAAGGUUUUUUAAACUCCUAUAUGUGAGAAAUACGUAUAUCAUAAACCUCAGAAAUAUAUAUGCUUUUAAAAACUAUAUCAUAUUCAUAUUUAUGCCAAGAAGAUUCCUAAAGCAUUUAAGUAAACUAUCCAUACUAGCCAUGGUCUACAAUUAGACAAGCGUGGUUUGCUCUUUCAAUUGCUCAUAGUCUGUGGAGAAAUAUUUCUAUAUUAAUUCUGCCAUAACACUGACUCUCUUCCCCCAGUUUCCAUGACAUACAUCACCUGGUUCUCUACAAGCUAAAUGUUUUUUGGCAUAAGGUCAAUUGCCAAGGGAAUUUGCAGUGAUUAUAUUUCUUCUUGCCAAGGAAAGAAGAAGUAGGAUACAAAUAAGAAGGGAAAGAAAGUGUAAUGCUGAUAGGUUUCAGUCAUAGAAGAACACUCCCAAGUGAUAGCUUAUCCACUGGUACAGUAACAGAUGGCUAAAUUGUAUAUUGAAAAUCUAUGAGUAUUAACAAUGCAUUGUGCUGAGUCCUUGUGAGCUAAAUAUUUUGGGCAUCAGGGUCAAUUGCGUCCUAUUUUAAUGUUUGCUGCUUCAUCCUGAAAAUGAUGGAUGUUCACAUCAGCUCAGUCCAUCAGGGAGAGAGAGAAGAGAGCUACCAUGUAUUGCAGGAGGCAAUGAAAGCACCAAGUUAAAAAUGAAAGAGUUCGUCUUUAAUCACCAUUGCAAUAGUAUAAACAAGAAUCUAAAAAGGAGGGAAGUGAUGACUCCUCCUGUUCCAUUUUACUCCAUGGGAUGACAUGCAUGUUGAGGGUCCAGGGAAGGGUCGUCCCCCUGUUAAGGGAGCCCCAAACAAAAGGCUUCCGCAGGUUUCUGGACCCUGGGGGAGGGGCAGUGGGGAGAACAAGGAGGACGGGCUAAGAGUGGAAAAGUACUGGGAACUGAGUCAGCGUGAGGAAAAUAUGUUCAAGAUGUUCCCCUCUGUCCCCCACAAGGAGACCUCAGUGGGAGAGACUUGAAGAGGACCUCUGCCCAAGGCCUCAGAUAAAGAGAAGGAAGGAAGGCACAGAGGAUGGGAAGGCAAAUAUUCCACCAGUGUGACUGGCAGAGGAUCUGAGUCCUUGAUGACAAAUGUCCUCAGAGAUUGAGAUCACAGUGCAUCGGCUGUGAGCCAUGCCCGGUGUGGAACAAUGGCUUUUCCCUGUGAGGCCUGACAGGUAAAGCCUUUGUAAUUGACUGUGUUGAGCCUGGUUUUUAACCAGAAGCCGGACUCUUCUGUUUAUAUUGUGAUAACACAAUUUAGUAACAGUGAGAAUCAUUGUGGAGAAUCACUGUCAGUGCAGUAGAAGAAAGGGGCUGAUAGCCUGCGUUAGAAGCUUCACCAUAUAAUUCUUUCUACGUGUGGAUCAAGACAAUUCUUACAGCUUAAAAAAAGAGCUAUUAAAGAGAAAGUUAAAGAUACCAACUAAGUUGAAUAGUUGUGUGCCCCCGAUGCACAGGCCUCUCUUUCAAUACUCUGGAAAAUCUAGGACUCCCAGUAAUUACCACACAUUGCUUCCCAAUUUUUGAAAGAGAUGAGAGAAGGAGGGGAGAAAGAAAACACAUCUAGCGGAUGUGGAAGUGGAUUAGGAAGAAUGCUCAGUGGUCAUUUUAAGGUCAUGUAAUAAAUUAUUUCAAGUUCACCUAAAGAGCCAUGGCAUUGAGAGGGGUCUUAAUCCAAGGAUAGAUGAGAUGGAAGGAGGCUUCUGUACUAGCAAAAAUAAAUUUCCAAUGAGUGCCUCAAUGCAGGAAAUAUAGCAUAGGAUUGCUUCUUUUUUGCUUCUGUAAUCUUGAGGUCCAGUGGCAAUUCAUUACACACAAGUUCAACUGUUUAUUCCUUAUGCACAUGCUCUUGGGCCAUUUUAUUUGAGUGAUAACUGGAGAAUCAUUCAUCCAGACCUAAGAGUCCUUCAGAAUGAGAAUAGUUGUAAGUGCUGAUUAAACAUGUAUGUUUAUAACCAUAGAUCCUGGUUCCAAUAACUCCACACAUGGAAUGGCUAAAACAGGAGGGGAGCUUCUGGCUUCUGCUGGAAUGAUAUGGAUUCUAGAAGAAAGGUGUCAUCCAGGCUGCCAGGGCACCCUUUGAGGCAGGCCAAUGCAAAUUUGAAUGAUAAACUCUAUUGGGGGAAGGGGCAUAGAAAUAAUCUAUAGCGGUCAAUGCAGUUUAAUCGCACUUUGGAGGACAGCGCCCACCUGCACCCACUGUUGCUGAGGUGAGCGACUCAGGCUUGGGAAGGAACUUGUCUAUCCCUGGGGAAGCACCACUGACAGAGGUUACUAAGUUACAGAGGAAAGACACCCAGAAUGAAAUGAGCCUGAGGGAUUUUUUAAAGAGUUAAUAUCCCCACGGAAAAUCAGGGUAAAAUAUAGAUUAAUUUCAUAUUUAUAAUACUUGGAACAAUACAUUUAGCUUCAUAUUGACUCUAACAUAAAAACAUGCUUAAAAUUACUUAAAACCAUGUUUUGUGAGAUAAAUUAAAUGAUUUUAAAAGAUUAGAAUGUAUCUUGCAUUUAGUCUGACAGUCAAGUAAGUGCUUUAUGCUAGGAAAGUGAAUCUUUAUGUAAUGGUCCGAAAAGCUACUAUUUCAAUGUAUUUAGUCUUUGUCAGAUCAGCAUUAUGACUAACUGCAGGAGAUGAACCUUGAUGUUUCAUAGAUUUAUAUACUCAUGAAACCUCAAGUCCUGGUGCCAGAGUCUCAGUCCUAUUUGCCAUUGGUACAGAAAUGAGGCUCUGCCUGUUUGAAUCCAUUGACUAAGUGUAUCUCAAAUUACUGCAUGUAAUGUAAUUUCAUGUUUUCUUUCUCUUUUUUUAUUUUAUAUUAUGUAAAGUUCGAGUAUAUUUUGUAUAAUAUAAACAUAUGAAACAGGUCAUAUAUACUAGUCAGUGGCUUAAACUUUUUUGGGAGAAAUUACAUAAUGCACCAAGAGCUUUCUAAAGUGUAAGAUACACAAACUGGUAUAUGGAAAAUGUGUGCAAUUAAAUUACAGAAGUUAGCAGAGCUUAAGGACUCAAAAAUUUCAGGUAUGGGAGUUCCAUUGUGGCUCAGCGGUAACAAACCCGACUGGUAUCCAUGAGGACUGGGGUUUGAUCCCUGGCUUCGCUCAGUGUGUUAAGGAUCUGGCACUGCCACGGGCUGUGGUAUAGGUCACAGACACAGCUCAGAUCUGGCAUUGCUGUGGCUGUGGCGUAGGCUAUCAGCUAGAGCUCUGAUUUGACCCCUAGCCUGGAGAUUUCCAUAUGCUGUGGACACAGCUCUAAAAAGACAAAAACAAAACAAAACAAAACAAAAACCCGGGGCCCUAAACCUGAGUUAAUCAGGUGAAACAAUUUCAAUUGGUGACUGAUGUAAAUUUUAAAUGUAAAAUUGUAAAAUCACAGACAUGUAAGUAUUUUUCUAAUUUUUCUAAGCAUGACUCCAAAAGAAAAGAGCAUGAAGAAGAUAAACUAUAUAUAAAUAAAACAAAUAUAUCUUUAUACUACUUGGCAAAUACACUAAAGAGUUCAUGUUGCCUGUUCUUUUGUAUGAUGGAUGAAAAUGUACUAAGCUCACUAGCUUUUUUUUAUGGCUAUAAAUACAGAGAUAGAGUCAAGACUUCUCAUUUCUUCAACUGAAUUUUUCCGUAAAAAUGUUUUUUAUUGAAUUUGCUUUCAUUAACUUAUCUUUUCACUAUUUGUUGCAAAUGAAUAGUGAAGUGAUGAAAAGAUAGGUGCCAAGGGACAAGAAACAAAAAACAAAGCAAAACAAAGCAAAACAAAAAAUAGAUUCUGAUUGUACCAAACAGAUCUUUUUACAUUUUCAGGCAGAGUUUAAGCGUUGUGUUCCUUUUAUAAGUAAAUGAUAGAACUAUUUAGAAAAGUCACACAAAUGAAUUCCUAUGAUCUCUAACUGGCAUUAGGAAGCCAAUUCAACCUGGGAAGAAUUAAGUAAAAGCAAGACAAAACAUUCAAACUAGAAAAUUUAUGCUCAAGAAAUUUUGAAAUUAAUGAUAAUCUGAUGUGUGAGAUGUAUGCCUAAUAUAUUUGUCAUAGAUCCAUCUAGGAUAUUUAGAACAAAGUGCAAAAACAUCACUGUGGGUGCGGAAGAAAAAAAUGGAAAAUGAGUUAGCAUCAUUUUGCAAGAAUGUCAAAUUUCGGAAUGACUUUAAGGAAAGCAGAAUUAGCAAACCAGUACAGUAAUAAAGCCUGGUUUAAACAAAAGAUCAUCCCAUGGCCAGGUCUGAAUCUGAGUAAAAAGUGAGUAUUAGUAAGACAUUACAUUUCCUGUUAUUUUCGUUAUUAAGUCGCUAUUGUCAUUUCCCUCAUUUUGGAAAAGCACUAGGUGUAGAAUGUCUGCUUUUGAUUAAAAAUAUGUGCCAGUAUUUCUGUACAGAUCCCAAUCAUAAUUAAAGAUUGCUAUUCCUAUUGUCUCAAGAGAUGUUUUGGAAAUUACAUCUCAUUUAGAAAAAUUACUUUCCUUUUUAUCUAAUAGUUAUACUUCUUUUUGUUUCUCAAAAAUAAAAUAAAAUGACCUGUUCUAUAAAGGUUAAAGCCAUUGUUUUAAAUACUCUUUAGCUCAUAAUGGAUUUUUUAUUAUAGUCGCCUUGGUGAGUUUAGUUAAUAAAUGAAUCUUCUCGACAACUGUCAUAUGCUUUUCCUUCUGGAAGUUUGUCACAUUGCAUCAUUAUCCAAAAGCUCAGCUCUUUGAUUUAUGUUUAAUAGGGCAAAGGAGAACUCGGCCAAGUUUAAAAGAAAAUGAGAAAUUAAAAAAAAAAUCUUUCAGUAAGUGUGGUUACAACUUAAUUUUUUCUUUUUAUUCUUCAAACUUGGGCAUUUUCUUUUACUGCACCCUUUAUUUUCUUCCAUAGCAUUAGUGAACUCUGUUUAGAACUAUCCUAAUAGAAUCUGAUUACUUGCCAUAAACCUAGAAAGAAUGUCUUAACAUCUUCAGCUCUGACUCUCACUGGCAUCUGAAACUCAAAGUGUACAUUAUGAACCAGAUGUUUAAGCCACUUCUUUCUACAUUUCCUGUUUCAGAAAUGUACCCCAUUAUGUACAUCACAUUGGCUCACUAUAGUGAUGACAUCACAUUCAUUAUGACCGAUGAGCAAGAAGUGGCAAGUGGUGUUUCCAUCGUGGCGCAGUGGUUAACGAAUCCGACUAGGAACCAUGAGGUUGAGGGUUCGAUCCCUGGCCUUUCUCAGUGGGUUAAGGAUCCGGCGUUGCCAUGAGCUGUGGUGUGGGUCGCAGAUGCAGCUCGGAUCCUGUGUUGCUGUGGCUCUGGUGUAGGCCGGUGGCUACAGCUCCGAUUGGACCCCUAGUCUGGGAACCUCCAUAUGCUGCAGGAGUGGCUCAAGAAA
RNAcentral lists this long non-coding RNA (6308 nucleotides) under Sus scrofa (pig). RNAcentral describes it as "lncRNA (ENSSSCG00000063402.1)". The record is from RNAcentral. Lineage: Eukaryota; Metazoa; Chordata; Mammalia; Artiodactyla; Suidae.